UACUAAAGGUGCAAGCGUUAAUCGGAAUUACUGGGCGUAAAGCGCGCGUAGGUGGUUUGUUAAGCGGAAUGUGAAAGCCCAGGGCUCAACCUUGGAACUGCAUUGCGAACUGGCAGACUAGAGUACGGUAGAGGUUAGUGGAAUUUCCUGUGUAGCGGUGAAAUGCGUAGAGAUGGGAAGGAACACCAGUGGCGAAGGCGACUGACUGGACUGAUACUGACACUGAGGUGCGAAAGCGUGGGGAGCGAACAGG
RNAcentral lists this ribosomal RNA (253 nucleotides) under uncultured bacterium. RNAcentral's name for it is "partial 16S ribosomal RNA". It matches the Rfam family "Bacterial small subunit ribosomal RNA", at positions 524 to 776 of the family's 1533-position model. The record is from RNAcentral.